AACGCGAAGAACCUUACCUGGUCUUGACAUCCACGGAAGUUUUCAGAGAUGAGAAUGUGCCUUCGGGAACCGUGAGACAGGUGCUGCAUGGCUGUCGUCAGCUCGUGUUGUGAAAUGUUGGGUUAAGUCCCGCAACGAGCGCAACCCUUAUCCUUUGUUGCCAGCGGUCCGGCCGGGAACUCAAAGGAGACUGCCAGUGAUAAACUGGAGGAAGGUGGGGAUGACGUCAAGUCAUCAUGGCCCUUACGACCAGGGCUACACACGUGCUACAAUGGCGCAUACAUAGAGAAGCGACCUCGCGAGAGCAAGCAGACCUCAUAAAGUGCGUAGUAGUCCGGAUUGGAGUCUGCAACU
RNAcentral lists this ribosomal RNA (354 nucleotides) under bacterium enrichment culture DGGE gel band N12. Its description in RNAcentral is "bacterial SSU rRNA". It matches the Rfam family "Bacterial small subunit ribosomal RNA", at positions 958 to 1312 of the family's 1533-position model. The record is from RNAcentral.